UUCGUGGAAUAACAGACGCUGGACCUGCUGUUCGACGCACUAUUGUGGACAGACGAAGGAACCUUCCGCUGCGGUUGUUUUUGUCCAUAAUGUAGCUACAAGAGAUACAUUAUGAAUGCCGGGGAGCUUCUUUUCUUGCUGUUUCCUGUCCAGUGGAGCGGCCGCACUCAACCCCAGUGGCCUCUUUUCGACCACUUGGUUGUGUGGCGAGUUUUUGCCCGAAGAAAAGUCGAGUUUUUUAGCUGUUUGCGUUUGCCAGCGGAGGCGUGCUUGUGUAAAGCACAUGCAGGCCUGAAAGUUCGACGUUUUCCCGGCACGCACUCAAAUUCUGUUGUGUUCGUUGUACUCUGAUACCUCCCGCGGAAGUUGAACACAUCCAUGUGCUUCGGACCGGAGGACGACUUCGGAAGAAAACGCGACGAUGUGGUGCAUUCUCUAACACGAUCAUAUGGACCGUUCCCCUUUGUUCCAUUUCAGUGACGGGAACUCUUUCGUGUUAAUCUCAUCUGGCGUGGUUUGAAUAAAGAUCCAUGUCAUGGCCCAUCUCCGAGACCCGGCAGCGGGCCGCCGGGAAAACGGAUGCUAUUCUUCUCCGUUGACUUACGUAUUUCUUCAGUCGAUGGACAUUCUACAAUGUGAUGAUACUGUAGAAACAUCCAAGAAUUCAACAUGUAUGUAUGUAAAUGCACGAGUGUACGUGUUGUACAUGUACGCAUGAGGGCUGUCUGACUGCCAAGACUACGAAUACAAAGGGGUAAUAUAAAUCGUGAAUGCGAAAUGAUCUGUACAAAUAGGUUCAAGUGCUUGCAUCCACCAAAAGGAAUUGCCUAUUAGUCUCGGGCAGCUGCGGUUUCCUAUUUCGGCUGCACAUUUAUACACACCUUCGCUUCUCAUUCGCUGAAGGAUGCCAUAGGUGCAACUUACCUAUACAGCGAACCCCUCUGGAGUGUCUUCUGCACCAAUGUCUCUUCUGCAAGCAUAGGCUGACGGCUAGAGAUGCGCAGGUGAGGCAGUGAUCCUUUCUGCUCAUGGCACUCGCUCCUUCUUCACUUCUGUCGGCACUGCUUCUCCCUCUCGGUCUGCGGUGCUUCUCCUGUUCCGUGUUGGACUGCUUUCUACGAAGGGUCGCAGUUGUUGCUUCCUGAAUGCCGG
This 1152-nucleotide long non-coding RNA is filed under the name Toxoplasma gondii VEG. Lineage: Eukaryota; Apicomplexa; Conoidasida; Eucoccidiorida; Sarcocystidae. The record is from RNAcentral.